This 468-nucleotide ribosomal RNA is filed under the name uncultured bacterium. RNAcentral's name for it is "partial 16S ribosomal RNA". It matches the Rfam family "Bacterial small subunit ribosomal RNA", at positions 28 to 507 of the family's 1533-position model. The record is from RNAcentral.
GACGAACGCUGGCGGCGUGCUUAACACAUGCAAGUCGAACGGAAAGGCCCUGCGUUUGUGGGGUGCUCGAGUGGCGAACGGGUGAGUAACACGUGAGUAACCUGCCCUUGACUUUGGGAUAACUUCAGGAAACUGGGGCUAAUACCGGAUAGGAGCUCCUGCUGCAUGGUGGGGGUUGGAAAGUUUCGGCGGUUGGGGAUGGACUCGCGGCUUAUCAGCUUGUUGGUGGGGUAGUGGCUUACCAAGGCUUUGACGGGUAGCCGGCCUGAGAGGGUGACCGGCCACAUUGGGACUGAGAUACGGCCCAGACUCCUACGGGAGGCAGCAGUGGAGAAUAUUGCACAAUGGGCGGAAGCCUGAUGCAGAAACGCCGCGUGCGGGAUGACGGCCUUCGGGUUGUAAACCGCUUUCGACUGUGACGAAGCGUGAGUGACGGUAAUGGGUAAAGAAGCAACGGCUAACUACGUG